Molecule: non-coding RNA, 72 nt
Organism: Phrynosoma platyrhinos (Desert horned lizard)
Lineage: Eukaryota; Metazoa; Chordata; Lepidosauria; Squamata; Phrynosomatidae
Source: the annotation of a GenBank genome assembly
GCCAGCAUGGCAUAGUGGUUUUGGUGCUGGACUAUGAUUCAGGAAACCAAGGUUUGAAUCCUGGCUCAGCCA